CCUACGGGUGGCUGCAGUGAGGAAUAUUGGUCAAUGGACGAGAGUCUGAACCAGCCAAGCAGCGUGAAGGAUGACUGCUCUAUGGGUUGUAAACUUCUUUUAUACAGGAAUAAAACGAGGCACGUGUGCCUUUUUGCAUGUACUUUAUGAAUAAGGAUCGGCUAACUCCGUGCCAGCAGCCGCGGUAAUACGGAGGAUCCGAGCGUUAUCCGGAUUUAUUGGGUUUAAAGGGAGCGUAGAUGGUUUGUUAAGUCAGUUGUGAAAGUCUGCGGCUCAACCGUAAAAUUGCAACUGAUACUGGCAGGCUUGAGAACAGUUGCGGUAGGCGGAAUGCGUGGUGUAGCGGUGAAAUGCUUAGAUAUCACGAAGAACACCGAUUGCGAAGGCAGCUUACUAAGCUGUGACUGACAUUGAUGCACGAAAGUGUGGGGAUCAAACAGGAUUAGAUACCCUUGUAGUC
Molecule: ribosomal RNA, 460 nt
Filed under: uncultured bacterium
Lineage: Bacteria
Description: partial 16S ribosomal RNA
Rfam family: Bacterial small subunit ribosomal RNA
Source: RNAcentral